Molecule: ribosomal RNA, 180 nt
Filed under: Campylobacter coli
Lineage: Bacteria; Pseudomonadati; Campylobacterota; Epsilonproteobacteria; Campylobacterales; Campylobacteraceae
Also listed under: 1 other name
Description: partial 16S ribosomal RNA
Rfam family: Bacterial small subunit ribosomal RNA
Source: RNAcentral
UUUAUGGAGAGUUUGAUCCUGGCUCAGAGUGAACGCUGGCGGCGUGCCUAAUACAUGCAAGUCGAACGAUGAAGCUUCUAGCUUGCUAGAAGUGGAUUAGUGGCGCACGGGUGAGUAAGGUAUAGUUAAUCUGCCCUACACAAGAGGACAACAGUUGGAAACGACUGCUAAUACUCUAUA